GUCCCGCUGACCGCAUUCGGGAGAUCUAAGAUGGCCGCGAUCCUUUGUUCUCGCCACGUGUUCAUAUGCCGAAUGGCGGCCACCUAGAAGCACUCAAUUACCUUGCGGUUUUCAUGGUUACUUGGUGUUUUAAGUUCUGAUUGAUACCCAGGGUGGUCUCCGUUCGGUAGAACGAAUAAAUGUCCCCAACACAGAAAUAACAACGAAUUCUUUACAGUCACUUAACUAGC
This is a non-coding RNA of Pelobates cultripes (western spadefoot toad), 230 nucleotides long. The record is from the annotation of a GenBank genome assembly. NCBI's taxonomy places the organism in Eukaryota, Metazoa, Chordata, Amphibia, Anura, Pelobatidae.